CCUACGGGAGGCAGCAGUGGGGAAUAUUGCACAAUGGGGGAAACCCUGAUGCAGCGACGCCGCGUGAGUGAAGAAGUAUUUCGGUACGUAAAGCUCUAUCAGCAGGGAAGAAAAUGACGGUACCUGACUAAGAAGCCCCGGCUAACUACGUGCCAGCAGCCGCGGUAAUACGUAGGGGGCAAGCGUUAUCCGGAUUUACUGGGUGUAAAGGGAGCGUAGACGGCAGCGCAAGUCUGGAGUGAAAUCCCAUGGCUUAACCAUGGAACUGCUGUGGAAACUGUGCAGCUAGAGUGCAGGAGAGGUAAGCGGAAUUCCUAGUGUAGCGGUGAAAUGCGUAGAUAUUAGGAGGAACACCAGUGGCGAAGGCGGCUUACUGGACUGUAACUGACGUUGAGGCUCGAAAGCGUGGGCAGCAAACAGGAUUAGAUACCCUUGUAGUC
This 440-nucleotide ribosomal RNA is filed under the name uncultured bacterium. RNAcentral describes it as "partial 16S ribosomal RNA". It matches the Rfam family "Bacterial small subunit ribosomal RNA", at positions 338 to 795 of the family's 1533-position model. The record is from RNAcentral.